AUUGAACGCUGGCGGCAGGCCUAACACAUGCAAGUCGAACGGUAACAGGAAGCAGCUUGCUGCUUUGCUGACGAGUGGCGGACGGGUGAGUAAUGUCUGGGAAACUGCCUGAUGGAGGGGGAUAACUACUGGAAACGGUAGCUAAUACCGCAUAAUGUCGCAAGACCAAAGAGGGGGACCUUCGGGCCUCUUGCCAUCGGAUGUGCCCAGAUGGGAUUAGCUAGUAGGUGGGGUAAAGGCUCACCUAGGCGACGAUCCCUAGCUGGUCUGAGAGGAUGACCAGCCACACUGGAACUGAGACACGGUCCAGACUCCUACGGGAGGCAGCAGUGGGGAAUAUUGCACAAUGGGCGCAAGCCUGAUGCAGCCAUGCCGCGUGGAUGAAGAAGGCCUUCGGGUUGUAAAGUACUUUCAGCGGGGAGGAAGGGAGUAAAGUUAAUACCUUUGCUCAUUGACGUUACCCGCAGAAGAAGCACCGGCUAACUCCGUG
This 490-nucleotide ribosomal RNA is filed under the name uncultured bacterium. RNAcentral describes it as "partial 16S ribosomal RNA". It matches the Rfam family "Bacterial small subunit ribosomal RNA", at positions 30 to 507 of the family's 1533-position model. The record is from RNAcentral.